GAUGAACGCUAGCGGCAGGCUUAAUACAUGCAAGUCGUGGGGCAGCAUGAGUAGCAAUACUUGAUGGCGACCGGCAAACGGGUGAGGAACACGUACACAACCUUCCUUCAAGCGGGGAAUAGCCCAGAGAAAUUUGGAUUAAUACCCCAUAAUAUAUUGAUAAGGCAUCUUAUUAAUAUUAAAGCUUCGGCACUUGAUGAUGGGUGUGCGGCUGAUUAGAUAGUUGGCGGGGUAACGGCCCACCAAGUCUACGAUCAGUAGCUGAUGUGAGAGCAUGAUCAGCCACACGGGCACUGAGACACGGGCCCGAUCCUAGGGAGGCAGCAGUAAGGAAUAUUGGAC
RNAcentral lists this ribosomal RNA (342 nucleotides) under uncultured bacterium. RNAcentral's name for it is "bacterial SSU rRNA". It matches the Rfam family "Bacterial small subunit ribosomal RNA", at positions 28 to 369 of the family's 1533-position model. The record is from RNAcentral.